AACUGAUACUACCUGCGGGAACCUGCGGAAGGAUCAUUACUGAAGUGAUUUGGGGAUGUUGCUGGCCCUCUCUCAAGGGGGGGCACUGUGCACUCCUCGAAACAAUUCACAAUUUCCAUUACACCCCUUGUGCACACCUUGUAGGCACCCAAACCCACCUCCGGGUGGUGGGGUCCUAUGUAUUCCUUCAUCUCACACUCUGUUGAAUGGUGCCAUGGGACGCAUCUAAAGGAUUAUUUG
RNAcentral lists this unclassified non-coding RNA (240 nucleotides) under soil metagenome. RNAcentral's name for it is "partial contains 5.8S ribosomal RNA, internal transcribed spacer 2, and large subunit ribosomal RNA". The record is from RNAcentral.